Molecule: ribosomal RNA, 278 nt
Filed under: Bipalium kewense
Lineage: Eukaryota; Metazoa; Platyhelminthes; Tricladida; Geoplanidae
Description: partial 18S ribosomal RNA
Rfam family: Eukaryotic small subunit ribosomal RNA
Source: RNAcentral
CCAGCAGCCGCGGUAAUUCCAGCUCCAAUAGCGUAUAUUAAAGUUGUUGCAGUUAAAAAGCUCGUAGUUGAAAUUGGGGAACGUGAACAAUUUGAGGUCAUAAACCAAUAAUUGUUUGCUCCUUCAUCGUCGUGUAUAUCUUUUGAGUUCUUUAUUGAAUUUGAUUGAUAACCGACAAGUUUACUUUGAAAAAAUUAGAGUGCUUAAAGCAAGCUUAUGCUUGUAUAUUGUUGCAUGGAAUAAUGAAAUAAGACUUCGGUUUUAUUUUGUUGGUUUUC